This 305-nucleotide ribosomal RNA is filed under the name uncultured bacterium. RNAcentral's name for it is "bacterial SSU rRNA". It matches the Rfam family "Bacterial small subunit ribosomal RNA", at positions 333 to 655 of the family's 1533-position model. The record is from RNAcentral.
CGUGGCCUACGGGAGGCAGCAGUGGGGAAUAUUGCACAAUGGGGGAAACCCUGAUGCGGCGACGCCGCGUGAGGGAAGAAGGUUUUCGGAUUGUAAACCUCUGUCUUUGGUGACGAAAGAUGACGGUAGCCAAAGAGGAAGCUACGGCUAACUACGUGCCAGCAGCCGCGGUAAUACGUAGGUGGCAAGCGUUGUCCGGAAUUACUGGGUGUAAAGGGAGCGUAGGCGGGAAGACAAGUUGAAUGUUUAAACUAUCGGCUCAACCGAUAAUCGCGUUCAAAACUGUUUUUCUUGAGUGAAGUAGG